RNAcentral lists this transfer RNA (74 nucleotides) under Arcanobacterium bovis. Its description in RNAcentral is "tRNA-Gln". It matches the Rfam family "tRNA". Rfam says of the family: Transfer RNA (tRNA) molecules are approximately 80 nucleotides in length. Their secondary structure includes four short double-helical elements and three loops (D, anti-codon, and T loops). Lineage: Bacteria; Bacillati; Actinomycetota; Actinomycetes; Actinomycetales; Actinomycetaceae. The record is from RNAcentral.
UCCGCCAUGGUGUAAAGGCAGCACACGGGUCUUUGGAACCCUUAGUCUAGGUUCGAAUCCUAGUGGCGGAGCGA